This 646-nucleotide long non-coding RNA is filed under the name Chinchilla lanigera (long-tailed chinchilla). RNAcentral's name for it is "lncRNA (ENSCLAG00000022819.1)". Lineage: Eukaryota; Metazoa; Chordata; Mammalia; Rodentia; Chinchillidae. The record is from RNAcentral.
CAUCCCUGCUGUGAGGUGGCGGAGGACUGGAGAAACGUGAGAGGAGCUGGCUCAUGAGAAGAGAGACAGCACUCAAUCCUCUGGAACCAAAUGAGCCCAACCUGUCUCAAAAAGGCAAGGCUGACUUCACUAACUGAAAAGCAAGUGAAAAUUGCUGUGGGCCUGUGUUGCCCGAGACUGCCUCAAGCACAGGACUAUCAUAAGCAAAUGUUUAAAAAGGGAGGAUUUUGGAAGAGAAAAUCAACCAACAAUGGGGUCUGGACAAAGCAGUAUCCUCAAGUUGAUGGGAGCAAAGCGAGGGGCUCCUGUAAGCCUACUGCUCUAGGGGAACCUGACAGAACAGGAAUGAAAGCAACAAUUAACAUCUGUCAACCCUCGCUAUGGAUCAUGCUACACUUACUACUUCAUUUCUGUUAUUUCAUUAAAUACCCAUCACCCCAUAAACCUUAAGAGGCUGCUGUUCUUCUCACUACAUAGAUGAGAAAAGUGAGACCUAGAGAAGUUAUAUACUUAGCUCUAGGUCACACAGAUAAAAAGGUAGCUCUGGAAUCUAAGCCCAGUAUGCUGGGAAAAAAUAAAAGAAAUCCACAAAGUUAACUGCUUGUGGUCUUUCUUCAGAGGAGGUUUCCAGGUUACUGAUUAUUCA